This 87-nucleotide transfer RNA is filed under the name Crella elegans. RNAcentral describes it as "tRNA-Ser". It matches the Rfam family "tRNA". Rfam says of the family: Transfer RNA (tRNA) molecules are approximately 80 nucleotides in length. Their secondary structure includes four short double-helical elements and three loops (D, anti-codon, and T loops). Lineage: Eukaryota; Metazoa; Porifera; Demospongiae; Poecilosclerida; Crellidae. The record is from RNAcentral.
AAUGAGGUGGCUGAAUAGGUGAAAGCAAUAGUAUGCUAAACUAUUGAGAGAGUAUGUCUUAUGUGGGUUCGAGUCCCAUUCUCAUUG